GUGAGCGUAGCUCAACGGUAGAGUAUCGCAUUGCCGAUGCGAGGAUGCGGGUUCGAUUCCCGCCGUUCACU
RNAcentral lists this transfer RNA (71 nucleotides) under Plesiocystis pacifica. RNAcentral's name for it is "tRNA-Gly". It matches the Rfam family "tRNA". From Rfam's summary of the family: Transfer RNA (tRNA) molecules are approximately 80 nucleotides in length. Their secondary structure includes four short double-helical elements and three loops (D, anti-codon, and T loops). The record is from RNAcentral. RNAcentral also lists the same sequence under 1 other name. Lineage: Bacteria; Pseudomonadati; Myxococcota; Nannocystales; Nannocystaceae.